RNAcentral lists this ribosomal RNA (490 nucleotides) under uncultured bacterium. RNAcentral describes it as "partial 16S ribosomal RNA". It matches the Rfam family "Bacterial small subunit ribosomal RNA", at positions 28 to 507 of the family's 1533-position model. The record is from RNAcentral.
GAUGAACGCUAGCUACAGGCUUAACACAUGCAAGUCGCGGGGCAGCAUGGGGGUUGCUUGCAAUCCCCGAUGGCGACCGGCGCACGGGUGAGUAACGCGUAUCCAACCUGCCCUUCACCACGGGAUAACCCGGCGAAAGUCGGACUAAUACCGUAUGUUGUCCAUUGACGGCAUCCGAUUUGGACGAAAGGCCUGGCGGUGAGGGUUGGGGAUGCGUCCGAUUAGCCAGACGGCGGGGUAACGGCCCACCGUGGCUACGAUCGGUAGGGGUUCUGAGAGGAAGGUCCCCCACGCUGGAACUGAGACACGGUCCAGACUCCUACGGGAGGCAGCAGUGAGGAAUAUUGGUCAAUGGGCGUAAGCCUGAACCAGCCAAGUAGCGUGCAGGAUGACGGCGCUAUGGGUUGUAAACUGCUUUUAUGCGGGGAUAAAGUGGCCCACGUGUGGGCUUUUGCAGGUACCGCAUGGAUAAGGACCGGCUAAUUCCGUG